UUGACAAAUGAAGAAAUACUUGUUCUGACAUAAGGAAGAGGAAAAUUAGGACUAAAAGUAGAAUUACUCAUGAGAGGCUCUGUUCUUAACUACUGAAUUUCUCUAAUUGGCUGAUUGAAUAUGUAGAUGUGGAACUUGUAGAUAUGAUGGGCCAACUGUAAUAAAGAAGAUUCCAUAUUUUGCUAUAAUUGAGAAUUGCCUCUAAAUAAACUGCCAGCAAACAACUAACUGCAGAUACUGCCGCUCCUGGCUUCUAAUAGAGAACAAUUCAGAGCCAGUCAACAACGUAAAAUGUGCAACUUAAAGGGAAAGGCAAAUGAAGAAAAGUAAGCUGAAGAAGAAAGAAACCCUAAUCACAAAUAGUGUGUCUGACAAGAGGCUAAUAAUACAUUUAUGGAAGAGAAGAAGGGUGAUGGCCCACUGCCAGGCCUCAAAUACAAAAUGCUUCAAAACCGACAAUUUUCAAGUCAGCAUACAGCCAUUUCAACAGUUAAAAUCUGUG
This is a long non-coding RNA of Chinchilla lanigera (long-tailed chinchilla), 502 nucleotides long. RefSeq lists it as uncharacterized. The transcript is spliced from 5 exons. Lineage: Eukaryota; Metazoa; Chordata; Mammalia; Rodentia; Chinchillidae. The record is from RefSeq and is a predicted model, not a curated record.